UGCUUCAUGGUCCUCUUGUAGAAUUUUCUUUUAUUUUCUUAAUGAAUCUAGGAGUAGAAUGAAUGUUGAGGCAAAAUAGCAAUUUAGUGUGUUGCAGUCGGUUAUUCAUUAGACAUUAUGUUGUGCAAUACAUUUUUCAAGUUGCUUUAAUGGCUUCUAAUAGAGCGUCCAAAUCUCGUGCUGGCUGUUCCAAUGACUCAAAAAUUAAUGAAGAAAAUGAGAUCCAUGCCGACGAGCCUCAUGCAUAGGAGGAAACUAUUCAUAAGAAUGCUAAAGGUAUCACAUAUAUAUCUACACAUAUACUUGCAUUGACAUGGUUUUAGGGUGGAUGGGUAAUUAUUGGUUAGAUAUAUAGCUUCUUAUUCAUAAGCAAUGAGUUGCAUUGUCAUGGUUUUGGGGUGGUGGGAUCCUUAUUCUCCAAUUUGUGGUUUUGGUUGUGGGACGUAAUUUAAAUCUUUCUUCGUCCACCUUUUCUCAUUCCAAGGUAUGUAAAACUGAGACAUGUUAAAUGGAAUAGGGUUUUUUUUGUUUGCCAUGUUUCUUGAAUGUGUUGUCUAACGUAUUGAAUUGAGUCAAUGUGAAUUGCUCUUUUUUCUCAACCUACUUCAUUAUUAUGGUUGAUUGUGCACAACUUGGAAUAGAUAAUACGACUGUAACACAUGAAAUACAGUACUCCCUCCAAUCCACAAAGUAUAUCCUUAAAAGUUGAUGUUUGAAUUGCAGGUCCUUGAUGUUUACAUAUUUGAGAUCCUAAUAUUUGUCACCAUUUGUAACAAAUGGAUUUGGUUGUUGACUUGAAGGUGUUGUUUGCUAAUGUUACAAUGUUUUUUCUCAGUAUGGUUCCU
RNAcentral lists this long non-coding RNA (845 nucleotides) under Panax ginseng (ginseng). RNAcentral describes it as "long non-coding RNA (PGIN_LNC011657)". Lineage: Eukaryota; Viridiplantae; Streptophyta; Magnoliopsida; Apiales; Araliaceae. The record is from RNAcentral.